This 460-nucleotide ribosomal RNA is filed under the name uncultured bacterium. RNAcentral's name for it is "partial 16S ribosomal RNA". It matches the Rfam family "Bacterial small subunit ribosomal RNA", at positions 338 to 795 of the family's 1533-position model. The record is from RNAcentral.
CCUACGGGGAGCAGCAGUGAGGAAUAUUGGUCAAUGGACGAGAGUCUGAACCAGCCAAGUAGCGUGAAGGAUGACUGCCCUAUGGGUUGUAAACUUCUUUUAUAUGGGAAUAAAAUGUUCCACGUGUGGGAUUUUGUAUGUACCAUAUGAAUAAGGAUCGGCUAACUCCGUGCCAGCAGCCGCGGUAAUACGGAGGAUCCGAGCGUUAUCCGGAUUUAUUGGGUUUAAAGGGAGCGUAGGUGGAUUGUUAAGUCAGUUGUGAAAGUUUGCGGCUCAACCGUAAAAUUGCAGUUGAAACUGGCAGUCUUGAGUACAGGAGAGGUGGGCGGAAUGCGUGGUGUAGCGGUGAAAUGCUUAGAUAUCACGAAGAACUCCGAUUGCGAAGGCAGUUCACUGGACUGCAACUGACACUGAGGCUCGAAAGUGUGGGUAUCAAACAGGAUUAGAUACCCCAGUAGUC